This 489-nucleotide ribosomal RNA is filed under the name uncultured bacterium. RNAcentral's name for it is "partial 16S ribosomal RNA". It matches the Rfam family "Bacterial small subunit ribosomal RNA", at positions 30 to 507 of the family's 1533-position model. The record is from RNAcentral.
UUGAACGCUGGCGGCAGGCCUAACACAUGCAAGUCGCACGGUAACAGGAAACAGCUUGCUGUUUCGCUGACGAGUGGCGGACGGGUGAGUAAUGUCUGGGAAACUGCCUGAUGGAGGGGGAUAACUACUGGAAACGGUAGCUAAUACCGCAUAACGUCGCAAGACCAAAGAGGGGGACCUUCGGGCCUCUUGCCAUCGGAUGUGCCCAGAUGGGAUUAGCUAGUAGGUGGGGUAACGGCUCACCUAGGCGACGAUCCCUAGCUGGUCUGAGAGGAUGACCAGCCACACUGGAACUGAGACACGGUCCAGACUCCUACGGGAGGCAGCAGUGGGGAAUAUUGCACAAUGGGCGCAAGCCUGAUGCAGCCAUGCCGCGUGUAUGAAGAAGGCCUUCGGGUUGUAAAGUACUUUCAGCGGGGAGGAAGGGAGUAAAGUUAAUACCUUUACUCAUUGACGUUACCCGCAGAAGAAGCACCGGCUAACUCCGUG